UCAACAAACCCAGCAACACCUGUAUCUACUCCGUCCUCAUCCUCAGGUUGUGAGCUGUCCAGGGGAAGUAUACUGCUGAUAUUUCAGACUACUCUUGGAUGUACAGUGAUGCGAAGAUUUUGCGUUUAUUUUUAAAAGAUAAAAGAUGAAAUGAGAUCCAAAACAUAUCAAAUUUAACCCAUUUCAUUUUAUUUUUCAUAGCCUUUAAAUAACAAAUGCAACUAUGAUACACCUUUAGUACAGAGUAUGUUAUAUUUUAAUCCCUUAAGGAAUUCAUGUAUAUAAAUUUGGUUUUGACUUAUAAAUCGAUUAUUAAAAUUUAUUUUACAUAUAAAUCAAGUUUGUCUAAUUCAUAUGAAAACAGAUAUUUAGUUUUUAAAGACAUCGAUAAGUUGAUUUUUUGUGAUGAGUGGAAUAUCUGAAUAUGUUCUCUGAAUAUGUUCACCAAAUAAUGCAUUGUCUGUCUGGCGUGAACAAAUAAAAUCCUCAAUUUACUUUGAUGUUUUUUAAAUAGAUAUGGUCGUCUUUUUCCUUCUCUAAUUGUAUCGAUUGAUCAAAGCUUUGCA
Molecule: long non-coding RNA, 566 nt
Organism: Magallana angulata
Lineage: Eukaryota; Metazoa; Mollusca; Bivalvia; Ostreida; Ostreidae
Exons: 3
Source: RefSeq, a predicted model, not a curated record